This 423-nucleotide ribosomal RNA is filed under the name uncultured bacterium. Its description in RNAcentral is "partial 16S ribosomal RNA". It matches the Rfam family "Bacterial small subunit ribosomal RNA", at positions 359 to 775 of the family's 1533-position model. The record is from RNAcentral.
AAGAUUUGACAAUGGGGGGAACCCUGAUCCAGCCAUCCCGCGUGUAUGAUUAAGGCCUUCGGGUCGUAAAGUACUUUUGGCAGAGACGAAAAGGUAUCUCCUAAUACGAGAUACUGCUGACGGUAUCUGCAGAAUAAGCACCGGCUAACUACGUGCCAGCAGCCGCGGUAAUACGUAGGGUGCAAGCGUUAAUCGGAAUUACUGGGCGUAAAGCGUGUGUAGGCGGUUCGGAAAGAAAGAUGUGAGAUCCCAGGGCUCAACCUUGGAACUGCAUUUUUAACUGCCGAGCUAGAGUAUGUCAGAGGGGGGUAGAAUUCCACGUGUAGAAGUGAAAUGCGUAGAUAUGUGGAGGAAUACCGAUGGCGAAGGCAGCCCCCUGGGAUAAUACUGACGCUCAGACACGAAAGCGUGGGGAGCGAACAG